GGGGCUGAUCGGUUUCGACGGUGACCUGUUCGUCGCAGGGAAGCGUGCCGAGAACGCAGGGUCCGCUCGCGGAUGCCCCCUGCAAAAGAAUAAGUGCUAAAUCUAACCGCACUGAGUUCGCUCUCGCUGCCUGAGCUUCGCGCCAGGAUUAACCAGUGAGCAGCUGCUCCGUCCACUCCUCUUCGUCUUCGGGAGGGUGUUGGGCGUCGUUAAGAAGACUUGCCUUACCAGUUGAGCCGCAGGGCCGGUAGGGGACUUUAACUGUGGAUAUGCUCGCCAACGGUUGUCUGCGACAAAGUUGGGGGCAGAAAAAUCGCCGUCUUGGCCAGCAGACUACGCACGUAGAAGACUGAGGGUACGGUCAUCGGACCGGGGUUCAAUUCCCCGCAGCUCCAC
RNAcentral lists this transfer-messenger RNA (396 nucleotides) under Bifidobacterium merycicum. It matches the Rfam family "transfer-messenger RNA". From Rfam's summary of the family: Bacterial tmRNA, also known as 10Sa RNA or SsrA, is named for its dual tRNA and mRNA-like properties. Lineage: Bacteria; Bacillati; Actinomycetota; Actinomycetes; Bifidobacteriales; Bifidobacteriaceae. The record is from RNAcentral.